CCGCCUGGGGAGUACGGCCGCAAGGUUAAAACUCAAAUGAAUUGACGGGGGCCCGCACAAGCGGUGGAGCAUGUGGUUUAAUUCGAUGCAACGCGAAGAACCUUACCUGGUCUUGACAUCCACAGAAUUCUGCAGAGAUGCGGAAGUGCCUUCGGGAACUGUGAGACAGGUGCUGCAUGGCUGUCGUCAGCUCGUGUUGUGAAAUGUUGGGUUAAGUCCCGCAACGAGCGCAACCCUUAUCCUUUGUUGCCAGCGAUUAGGUCGGGAACUCAAAGGAGACUGCCAGUGAUAAACUGGAGGAAGGUGGGGAUGACGUCAAGUCAUCAUGGCCCUUACGACCAGGGCUACACACGUGCUACAAUGGCGCAUACAAAGAGAAGCGACCUCGCGAGAGCAAGCGGACCUCAUAAAGUGCGUCGUAGUCCGGAUUGGAGUCUGCAACUCGACUCCAUGAAGUCGGAAUCGCUAGUAAUCGUGGAUCAGAAUGCCACGGUGAAUACGUUCCCGGGCCUUGUACACACCGCCCGUCACACCAUGGGAGUGGGUUGCAAAAGAAGUAGGUAGCUUAACCUUCGGGAGGGCGCUUACCACUUUGUGAUUCAUGACUGGGGUGAAGUCGUAACAAGGUAACCGUAGGGGAACCUGCGGUUGGAUCACCUCCUUACCUUAAAGAAGC
Molecule: ribosomal RNA, 676 nt
Filed under: Salmonella enterica
Lineage: Bacteria; Pseudomonadati; Pseudomonadota; Gammaproteobacteria; Enterobacterales; Enterobacteriaceae
Also listed under: 1 other name
Description: bacterial SSU rRNA
Rfam family: Bacterial small subunit ribosomal RNA
Source: RNAcentral